GCACCAUUGGCCGAGCGGAUAAGGCAAACGACUCAUAAUCGUUGAUAGGUAGGUUCAACCCCUACAUGGUGCA
Molecule: transfer RNA, 73 nt
Filed under: Phacotus lenticularis
Lineage: Eukaryota; Viridiplantae; Chlorophyta; Chlorophyceae; Chlamydomonadales; Phacotaceae
Description: tRNA-Ile
Rfam family: tRNA
About the family: Transfer RNA (tRNA) molecules are approximately 80 nucleotides in length.
Source: RNAcentral